Molecule: long non-coding RNA, 966 nt
Organism: Sarcophilus harrisii (Tasmanian devil)
Lineage: Eukaryota; Metazoa; Chordata; Mammalia; Dasyuromorphia; Dasyuridae
Source: Ensembl
AAAUAAAAGGCUAUUAAAUUAAAAAAAAAAAAAAAAAAAAAAAAACAAAUGCUGCAAAAAAAAAAAAAAAAUGUAAAUUUCCACUCACCAUGAGGAGCAGACACCCAGAAUCCUCUCUUCUCCUGGAGUUGGAGUAUGGAAGGGUUUCCAUCCUUCUCCCAUAUUACCACUGAAAAGCUACAUAGACGCUUUUGGAAAUAACGUAGGAGUAGGAAUUCAUUACCCUUAAGAUCAUUAAGUUUAAGAAGCGGGGUAACUCUUUAUCAUGGAGAAGGGUUUUGAAAAUGUUGAUGCUCAUGAUUGAGAAUUCCAGAAAUGUGGUUUGGAGAAGAUACUGUUGCCCUUGUUGGUUUAAACGGUAAUGGCUAACCCUUUCACAGCCUUUAAGGGUUCCAUUCUUACUUGUUCCUUACAACGCCGCGAUGAUGGAGGUAGGAAAAACUGGCCCCAUCAGAGACUGGCGCAAUGCUAUCGCUUCAGGCUAAGAUCACGUGUCCCCAAUCUCAUCAACGCAUGCGCAAAUGACUCCUCAACGUUGACUGACUAGGCCCAAAUCCUUGGCUAAAAAAACCUCCCCUUUAACUGGAAGACCCUGUGAGGCGGCUGUCCUCACACAGUACUGUAGAUGACUCAGCAAAACUGAUGACAUAUAAGAAACCCACGUCACUGGGUACCAAAACCUCAUCCCGGUCAUUGCUGCUUCAGUUGAAAAAGCCACGUGUCCUCAGUGAUGCCCGCGGCGCCUGCGCAGAUGACCCCCAGCCAGUCGUGCCCUACCACGCUCUUGAAGGCACACCCUUGGACAAGAGAAUGACCUUAUUCCUCUCCUGUGCCCAACAAAAGACUAUGACGUGGGCCAGGACCGCCUUGCUUCCACCUAAUAUCAAACCUAAACUACCAGGGGAUUAUCAUGAAUCCAGUCCAGUGAAGAGCACCUUGUUAUAAAAGAAAAGGAGCAUUUAUAGG